Molecule: ribosomal RNA, 459 nt
Filed under: uncultured bacterium
Lineage: Bacteria
Description: partial 16S ribosomal RNA
Rfam family: Bacterial small subunit ribosomal RNA
Source: RNAcentral
CCUACGGGGCGCUGCAGUGAGGAAUAUUGGUCAAUGGCCGCAGGGCUGAACCAGCCAAGUCGCGUGAGGGAUGACGGUCCUAUGGAUUGUAAACCUCUUUUGUCAGGGAGCAAAGGGCGCCACGUGUGGCGCUUUGCGAGUACCUGAAGAAAAAGCAUCGGCUAACUCCGUGCCAGCAGCCGCGGUAAUACGGAGGAUGCGAGCGUUAUCCGGAUUUAUUGGGUUUAAAGGGUGCGCAGGCGGAAUGUCAAGUCAGCGGUAAAAUUUCGGGGCUCAACCCCGUCGUGCCGUUGAAACUGGCGUUCUUGAGUGAGCGAGAAGUAUGCGGAAUGCGUGGUGUAGCGGUGAAAUGCAUAGAUAUCACGCAGAACUCCGAUUGCGAAGGCAGCAUACCGGCGCUCAACUGACGCUCAUGCACGAAAGCGUGGGUAUCGAACAGGAUUAGAUACCCUGGUAGUC